Molecule: long non-coding RNA, 282 nt
Filed under: Mytilus galloprovincialis (Mediterranean mussel)
Lineage: Eukaryota; Metazoa; Mollusca; Bivalvia; Mytilida; Mytilidae
Source: RNAcentral
AUGUUCUGGAAUUUCCUUGAAUUUGACAGUUGAAGGAAAUCUAUCAUUCAUUUCAUUGCAGUAAAAAAAAUCUGUGUCAUAGACAUAUAUCCUGGGUGUUUCAAAGCACCAUUUUUUUAUUUGGUGUUUCUAUAGAUUAUUGUGAAAACAUGAGGUUAUAUUGUUACUAAAGCUUUUACAUAGGAAAAAAGGGUGAACAUUUGAUUGGUGAACUGCCAGUGAUGGUUAUUGUCGUUUUAUGUGCAACUAAACGUAUAUGAAAUAUUUUCUAUAGUACUGAAC